Molecule: ribosomal RNA, 597 nt
Filed under: Enterobacter roggenkampii
Lineage: Bacteria; Pseudomonadati; Pseudomonadota; Gammaproteobacteria; Enterobacterales; Enterobacteriaceae
Description: partial 23S ribosomal RNA
Rfam family: Bacterial large subunit ribosomal RNA
Source: RNAcentral
GAAUGCUGACAUAAGUAACGAUAAAGCGGGUGAAAAGCCCGCUCGCCGGAAGACCAAGGGUUCCUGUCCAACGUUAAUCGGGGCAGGGUGAGUCGACCCCUAAGGCGAGGCCGAAAGGCGUAGUCGAUGGGAAACAGGUUAAUAUUCCUGUACUUGGUGUUACUGCGAAGGGGGGACGGAGAAGGCUAUGUUAGCCGGGCGACGGUUGUCCCGGUUUAAGCAUGUAGGCGGAGGUUCCAGGUAAAUCCGGUACCUUUUAACGCUGAGGUGUGAUGACGAGGCACUACGGUGCUGAAGUAACAAAUGCCCUGCUUCCAGGAAAAGCCUCUAAGCAUCAGGUAACAUCAAAUCGUACCCCAAACCGACACAGGUGGUCAGGUAGAGAAUACCAAGGCGCUUGAGAGAACUCGGGUGAAGGAACUAGGCAAAAUGGUGCCGUAACUUCGGGAGAAGGCACGCUGAUAUGUAGGUGAAGCCCCUGCGGGUGGAGCUGAAAUCAGUCGAAGAUACCAGCUGGCUGCAACUGUUUAUUAAAAACACAGCACUGUGCAAACACGAAAGUGGACGUAUACGGUGUGACGCCUGCCCGGUGCCGGA